UAAACCAUAGCAAGCGUAGGGCUACGGUAGCCCAGCUCCUUACGUGGCCAGGUCCACAUACCAAAUAUUUUAAUUACAUGACAAACCAUUUCAACUCUGCCCUCCUUUUAAAGUUAUGCUACUAGGUUCAACCAUCUCAUAAAUGGACAUUUCCUUUUAAGAUAUGGAAGAAGGUGGUUUGUGACUUCUUGCAGCUAGAUUUAUGAAUGAAGAAAUUACAUGCUACUCCCCAUUGCUGAGGUUCUCCCCACCCCCAAGCUGUGUUUCAAUUCCAAUAAAAGUCUUCAUUUCUCCUGUCAAGCAUUUCAGUUUGCUUCUCUGUUCUUGAGAAAAUGAAUUGUGCCUUGGAGAUACAAGAAAACAAGAAGACAUAAUUGGACACUGUAGAGGGAUCAGAGAAGCCACCACUCAGAAGCAAAUCCAUUUGUGAUUACAUAUCACUUGGGGCACGUAUUGGAUUUUGGAGGAUUCCUCAGGUCUUGUCAAAGCUUUGGAACUACAAUUAAGUUUUCAGGUAAACUCACUCAAUUUAUAUUGUCUGCACUACUGCCCAAUACUAAUCACAUGUUCAUUCAAUACUAUUGUCACAUCUACUGCACCAGUCGUGACUUACCAGAUAAGCCAUCUUUGUUACCAAACUGAUAGGAUUAGAAUUAAAAUUUAUUACGAGCCAAACAGCAAAUUCUCAAUAUUUUGUUCUUCUACAGCACUUCAUCAGAAAAUACAAAAGGACUUCAAAUAGUAAAAGCUCAACUCCCAUAUCAAGCCCCUUAUACAAAUUUCACAGAUAAGAAAUUUGAGGCACAAAGGUUAUACUGCAAGUCAGUGUCAGACGCUAUGUCUAAACUACAGGGUUUUGUUUGUUUGUUUUUUUAAAGUGGCCUUUUUUUAGAAAAAUCUUCACCUGCGUCUAGACUGCCACCACGUUCUUUCGAAAUUAAAUCGAAAGAACGUGG
Molecule: non-coding RNA, 956 nt
Organism: Pelodiscus sinensis (Chinese soft-shelled turtle)
Lineage: Eukaryota; Metazoa; Chordata; Testudines; Trionychidae
Source: RefSeq, a predicted model, not a curated record